Molecule: ribosomal RNA, 2776 nt
Filed under: Salmonella enterica subsp. enterica serovar Enteritidis
Lineage: Bacteria; Pseudomonadati; Pseudomonadota; Gammaproteobacteria; Enterobacterales; Enterobacteriaceae
Description: bacterial LSU rRNA
Rfam family: Bacterial large subunit ribosomal RNA
Source: RNAcentral
AGCGUACACGGUGGAUGCCCUGGCAGUCAGAGGCGAUGAAGGGCGUGCUAAUCUGCGAUAAGCGCCGGUAAGGUGAUAUGAACCGUUAUAACCGGCGAUACCCGAAUGGGGAAACCCAGUGUGACUCGUCACACUAUCAUUAACUGAAUCCAUAGGUUAAUGAGGCGAACCGGGGGAACUGAAACAUCUAAGUACCCCGAGGAAAAGAAAUCAACCGAGAUUCCCCCAGUAGCGGCGAGCGAACGGGGAGGAGCCCAGAGCCUGAAUCAGCAUGUGUGUUAGUGGAAGCGUCUGGAAAGGCGCGCGAUACAGGGUGACAGCCCCGUACACAAAAGCGCAUGUGCUGUGAGCUCGAUGAGUAGGGCGGGACACGUGGUAUCCUGUCUGAAUAUGGGGGGACCAUCCUCCAAGGCUAAAUACUCCUGACUGACCGAUAGUGAACCAGUACCGUGAGGGAAAGGCGAAAAGAACCCCGGCGAGGGGAGUGAAAAAGAACCUGAAACCGUGUACGUACAAGCAGUGGGAGCACAGGUUUACCUGUGUGACUGCGUACCUUUUGUAUAAUGGGUCAGCGACUUAUAUUCUGUAGCAAGGUUAACCGAAUAGGGGAGCCGGAGGGAAACCGAGUCUUAAUUGGGCGUUAAGUUGCAGGGUAUAGACCCGAAACCCGGUGAUCUAGCCAUGGGCAGGUUGAAGGUUGGGUAACACUAACUGGAGGACCGAACCGACUAAUGUUGAAAAAUUAGCGGAUGACCUGUGGCUGGGGGUGAAAGGCCAAUCAAACCGGGAGAUAGCUGGUUCUCCCCGAAAGCUAUUUAGGUAGCGCCUCGUGAAUUCAUCUCCGGGGGUAGAGCACUGUUUCGGCUAGGGGGCCAUCCCGGCUUACCAACCCGAUGCAAACUGCGAAUACCGGAGAAUGUUAUCACGGGAGACACACGGCGGGUGCUAACGUCCGUCGUGAAGAGGGAAACAACCCAGACCGCCAGCUAAGGUCCCAAAGUCAUGGUUAAGUGGGAAACGAUGUGGGAAGGCCCAGACAGCCAGGAUGUUGGCUUAGAAGCAGCCAUCAUUUAAAGAAAGCGUAAUAGCUCACUGGUCGAGUCGGCCUGCGCGGAAGAUGUAACGGGGCUAAACCAUGCACCGAAGCUGCGGCAGCGACACUGUGUGUUGUUGGGUAGGGGAGCGUUCUGUAAGCCUGUGAAGGUGUGUCGUGAGGCAUGCUGGAGGUAUCAGAAGUGCGAAUGCUGACAUAAGUAACGAUAAAGCGGGUGAAAAGCCCGCUCGCCGGAAGACCAAGGGUUCCUGUCCAACGUUAAUCGGGGCAGGGUGAGUCGACCCCUAAGGCGAGGCCGAAAGGCGUAGUCGAUGGGAAACGGGUUAAUAUUCCCGUACUUGGUGUUACUGCGAAGGGGGGACGGAGAAGGCUAUGUUGGCCGGGCGACGGUUGUCCCGGUUUAAGCGUGUAGGUGUGUGUUCCAGGUAAAUCCGGUUCACUUUAACACUGAGGCGUGACGACGAGGCACUACGGUGCUGAAGCAACAAAUGCCCUGCUUCCAGGAAAAGCCUCUAAGCAUCAGGUAACAUCAAAUCGUACCCCAAACCGACACAGGUGGUCAGGUAGAGAAUACCAAGGCGCUUGAGAGAACUCGGGUGAAGGAACUAGGCAAAAUGGUGCCGUAACUUCGGGAGAAGGCACGCUGACACGUAGGUGAAGUGAUUUACUCAUGGAGCUGAAGUCAGUCGAAGAUACCAGCUGGCUGCAACUGUUUAUUAAAAACACAGCACUGUGCAAACACGAAAGUGGACGUAUACGGUGUGACGCCUGCCCGGUGCCGGAAGGUUAAUUGAUGGGGUCAGCGCAAGCGAAGCUCCUGAUCGAAGCCCCGGUAAACGGCGGCCGUAACUAUAACGGUCCUAAGGUAGCGAAAUUCCUUGUCGGGUAAGUUCCGACCUGCACGAAUGGCGUAAUGAUGGCCAGGCUGUCUCCACCCGAGACUCAGUGAAAUUGAACUCGCUGUGAAGAUGCAGUGUACCCGCGGCAAGACGGAAAGACCCCGUGAACCUUUACUAUAGCUUGACACUGAACAUUGAGCCUUGAUGUGUAGGAUAGGUGGGAGGCUUUGAAGUGUGGACGCCAGUCUGCAUGGAGCCGACCUUGAAAUACCACCCUUUAAUGUUUGAUGUUCUAACGUGGACCCGUUACCCGGGUUGCGGACAGUGUCUGGUGGGUAGUUUGACUGGGGCGGUCUCCUCCUAAAGAGUAACGGAGGAGCACGAAGGUUGGCUAAUCCUGGUCGGACAUCAGGAGGUUAGUGCAAUGGCAUAAGCCAGCUUGACUGCGAGCGUGACGGCGCGAGCAGGUGCGAAAGCAGGUCAUAGUGAUCCGGUGGUUCUGAAUGGAAGGGCCAUCGCUCAACGGAUAAAAGGUACUCCGGGGAUAACAGGCUGAUACCGCCCAAGAGUUCAUAUCGACGGCGGUGUUUGGCACCUCGAUGUCGGCUCAUCACAUCCUGGGGCUGAAGUAGGUCCCAAGGGUAUGGCUGUUCGCCAUUUAAAGUGGUACGCGAGCUGGGUUUAGAACGUCGUGAGACAGUUCGGUCCCUAUCUGCCGUGGGCGCUGGAGAACUGAGGGGGGCUGCUCCUAGUACGAGAGGACCGGAGUGGACGCAUCACUGGUGUUCGGGUUGUCAUGCCAAUGGCACUGCCCGGUAGCUAAAUGCGGAAGAGAUAAGUGCUGAAAGCAUCUAAGCACGAAACUUGCCCCGAGAUGAGUUCU